Arabidopsis lyrata subsp. lyrata is the source of this 491-nucleotide long non-coding RNA. RefSeq lists it as uncharacterized. The record is from RefSeq and is a predicted model, not a curated record. Lineage: Eukaryota; Viridiplantae; Streptophyta; Magnoliopsida; Brassicales; Brassicaceae. The transcript is spliced from 2 exons.
ACCAUAGUUUAACGUUUCUUUUGAUUCUCUUUUUUUAUCUAUUCGCCACCAAUUCCUAGAUUAUGAGUAACAGAGGAUUGACCCGACAACGCAACAAGGACCUUAAAAACCCGAGAAAGAAGUAUCGGAAUAAGCACGAGAAAAAAGUCAUUGAUCGCAAAGGACAGGUCAGAGAUAUCCGGAAACAAACAGGUCCAUAUUCAGGAGAAACUCGCGGUAUCAAUCCCAACACAAGCAGGAGCAUCCGAAUCAAGAACUAACCUCCUCUUCUUCCUAUGUCCCCCAAUUUCUCUAUUUGCACGCUUCGUUUUGCUGUUGUAUUAUCUUCUAUUGUGGAUCUCGUACUUUUCAUUUUUUCUCUUCUUCAAGACUAAGCAAAUCCUUGUUUUGCAAUUUUUGAUGUUUUUGUUUAAAUCUGUUGUCUUACAUUUGUACAAGAAGGCAAUUCAAUAUGCUAAAGAGUACGAAGUAGUUGAUGAAUUCUUCAGCCA